UCAGAGCUAAUAGUGAAGGUGAAUCAAGAAAAAACAAAAUUACAUUACCUCUUGUUCUUUUGUUUCUUUGUUAAACAAUAUUAAAAGGUAAACAAUAUUACAAAUAGCUGAUGAUGAUUAAAAAACAAUAUUACAAAUAUUGGAAAAUAUGACAAAGUAAGAAAAGAAGAAUACUCCGUAAUUUUGUAGUCAUUGUUAUACUUCUAUGAUACGUUGACACUAGUUAAACACUGUUUUAGAGUCUUAAUGUUGUAGCCAAAUAGAUAAGUAUGAGGUGACAAAAUGAAAAAAAUGAACAAAAAAAAGAUGAGAUAUUUGUUUUUAUGAACCUGCGAGUGUGACGUGGUGGGUUAUCACAACCCAACCAAUUGGAAAAAAUCCGAGUCUUUUUUUGGAAGGUUUAUUUUUGUAUGUUU
RNAcentral lists this long non-coding RNA (416 nucleotides) under Capsella rubella. RNAcentral's name for it is "long non-coding RNA (CRUB_LNC004026)". Lineage: Eukaryota; Viridiplantae; Streptophyta; Magnoliopsida; Brassicales; Brassicaceae. The record is from RNAcentral.